GAAAUCAGUUCAGCACUAAGUCACUUUGUCUUUAUGGCAAAUGUGAGAUGCAGUGUAUGGAAUGUCAAAUUUCUAGUAUGAGAAAUUAACGAUUUAAGUCCUUCUUAAAUGAGGCCAUUUACCCAUAGAGGGUGCCAGGCCCGUAUAACGUUAAUGAUUACUAGAUGGCAUUUCCAAAGAGUCGUGUUGCUUGAUAGUGCAGCACUAAGUGGGUGGUAAACUCCAUCUAAAACUAAAUAUAACCAUGAGACCGAUAGUAAACAAGUACCGUGAGGGAAAGUUGAAAAGAACUCUGAAUAGAGAGUUAAAUAGUACGUGAAACUGCUUAGAGGUUAAGCCCGAUGAACCUGAAUAUCCAUUAUAGAAAAUUCAUCAUUAUGAUUUUAAUAUUAAUAAUAUUAUAAUAAUGGUGUGCAUUUUUUCUAUAACGGACAUUGUAAUCUAUUAACAUAAAUAUAUUUAUCAUAAGAUCAAUGAUGCGUAAGUUUAUUCAAAUUAUUUUGCUUGCAAUUUAACAUAGAAUAAAUGCUCUUGAUUUGAUAAAGUGUUGAUAGAUUUAUUGUAUAUAGUGCUUAAAUAUUUAUAUUUUAUAAUAGCAUAUUAAUCAUUGAUUUUUAUGUUUAUUAUAUGCACUUAUAUGAUUAACAAUGCGAAAGAUUCAGGAUACCUUCGGGACCCGUCUUGAAACACGGACCAAGGAGUCUAACAUAUUUGCAAGUUAUUGGGUAUCAAAACCUAAUAGCGAAAUUAACAUAACUUUAAUGGGAUUAGUUUUUAGAUUAUUUAUAGUCUAUUAAUUCAAUCCCGGGGCGUUCUAUAUAGUUAUGUAUAAUAAUAUUUAUAUUAUUUAUACCUCUAACUAGAGCGUACCUUGAGCAUAUAUGCUGUGACCCGAAAGAUGGUGAACUAUACUUGAUCAGGUUGAAGUCAGGGGAAACCCUGAUGGAAGACCGAAACAGUUCUGACGUGCAAAUCGAUUGUCAGAAUUGAGUAUA
RNAcentral lists this ribosomal RNA (995 nucleotides) under Sarcophaga haemorrhoa. RNAcentral describes it as "eukaryotic LSU rRNA". It matches the Rfam family "Eukaryotic large subunit ribosomal RNA", at positions 100 to 919 of the family's 3401-position model. Lineage: Eukaryota; Metazoa; Arthropoda; Insecta; Diptera; Sarcophagidae. The record is from RNAcentral.